CCUACGGGAGGCAGCAGUGGGGAAUAUUGCACAAUGGGGAAACCCUGAUGCAGCGACGCCGCGUGAGUGAAGAAGGAAUUCGGUAUGGAAAGCUCUAUCAGCAGGGAAGAAGGAGGACGGUACCUGACUAAGAAGCCCCGGCUAACUACGUGCCAGCAGCCGCGGUAAUACGUAGGGGGCAAGCGGUAUCCGGAUUUAAUGGGGGUAAAGGGGGCGGAGACGGCAGCGCAAGCCAGGAGUGAAAGCCCGGGGCCCAACCCCGGGACUGCUCUUGGGACUGCGCGGCUGGAGUGCAGGAGGGGCAGGCGGAAUUCCUGGUGUAGCGGUGAAAUGCGUAGAUAUCAGGAGGAACACCGGUGGCGAAGGCGGCCUGCUGGACUGCGACUGACGUUGAGGCCCGAAAGCGUGGGGAGCAAACAGGAUUAGAUACCCUUGUAGUC
This 440-nucleotide ribosomal RNA is filed under the name uncultured bacterium. RNAcentral's name for it is "partial 16S ribosomal RNA". It matches the Rfam family "Bacterial small subunit ribosomal RNA", at positions 338 to 795 of the family's 1533-position model. The record is from RNAcentral.